This 405-nucleotide ribosomal RNA is filed under the name uncultured Glomeromycotina. Its description in RNAcentral is "bacterial SSU rRNA". It matches the Rfam family "Eukaryotic small subunit ribosomal RNA", at positions 569 to 971 of the family's 1831-position model. Lineage: Eukaryota; Fungi; Glomeromycota. The record is from RNAcentral.
AGCAGCCGCGGUAAUUCCAGCUCCAAUAGCGUAUAUUAAAGUUGUUGCAGUUAAAAAGCUCGUAGUUGAAUUUCGGGAGCCGCGGGUCGGUUGGGCUUAACUGUCCAUCACUGGCUCCGCGGGUCUCUUACCUUCUGGCGAGGUCAGAUGUCAUUUAUUUGGUGUCUGGCGGAACCAGGACCAUUACCUUGAAAAAAUUAGAGUGUUUAAAGCAGGCUUUAUCGUCUGAAUACAUUAGCAUGGAAUAAUAAAAUAGGACGGCUAAGGGUUCUAUUUUGUGGUUUCUAGGACCACCGUAAUGAUUAAUAGGGAUAGUUGGGGGCAUUAGUAUUCAAUUGUCAGAGGUGAAAUUCUUGGAUUUAUUGAAGACUAACUACUGCGAAAGCAUUUGCCAAGGAUGUUUUC